This 254-nucleotide ribosomal RNA is filed under the name uncultured bacterium. RNAcentral describes it as "partial 16S ribosomal RNA". It matches the Rfam family "Bacterial small subunit ribosomal RNA", at positions 524 to 776 of the family's 1533-position model. The record is from RNAcentral.
UACGUAGGGGGCAAGCGUUGUCCGGAUUUACUGGGCGUAAAGCGCGUGUAGGCGGCUGGUUAGGUGUGAUGUGAAAUCCUCGGGCUCAACCCGAGAACUGCAUUGCAAACCGGCCUGGCUAGAGUGCAGGAGAGGGAAGCGGAAUUCCAGGUGUAGCGGUGAAAUUCGUAGAUAUUCGCAAGAACACCAGUGGCGAAGGCGGUUCUCUGGGCCUUACCUGACGCUGAGGAGCGAAAGCGUGGGGAGCGAACAGG